AUGUGCAUAGCAAAAAGUAGAAAAAGGCUAUCAUUUCCCCAAAUCACGCCGACAACAAAAUCCCCUUCUCUACUGUACUGUUCUCUCUACACGGCUGUGAUUUGGGUACGGUGGGCAAGGGAGAUCAUGGGAGGACGCAGCGGGCUGCUCGACCUCGUCAUGGCCGGCGCUGCCGUGGCGACGGUGCUGGAGGUUGGAGGCGUGGAGGCGGAGGAGGCAGUGACUGAGCUGACGAAGGGUACGCUGGUUCACGUAUUUCCCGGCGAAUUGGUGUGUGCUGCAGCGUCUUCCAAGCCAUUUCUGAUCGAGGAGGGGACCACUCUUUCGAGCAGCUGUUCUUGCGCUGUCCACCAACGAGAUCGCAUCUCACUGUCGCUGAUCUGGAAAGGCAGAUGUCGGUCGCCGGGGAGAUCAUGGGUGCAGGCAGUGAACUUUGGCGUUGAGUAG
This 447-nucleotide ribosomal RNA is filed under the name Triticum aestivum (bread wheat). Its description in RNAcentral is "partial small subunit ribosomal RNA". The record is from RNAcentral. Lineage: Eukaryota; Viridiplantae; Streptophyta; Magnoliopsida; Poales; Poaceae.